GAUGAACGCUGGCGGCGUGCCUAAUACAUGCCAGUCGAGCGAACGGACGAGAAGCUUGCUUUUCUGAUGUUAGCGGCGGACGGGUGAGUAACACGUGGAUAACCUACCUAUAAGACUGGGAUAACUUCGGGAAACCGGAGCUAAUACCGGAUAAUAUUUUGAACCGCAUGGUUCAAAAGUGAAAGGCGGUCCUGCUGUCACUUAUAGAUGGAUCCGCGCUGCAUUAGCUAGUUGGUAAGGUAACGGCUUACCAGGGCAACGAUGCAUAGCCGACCUGAGAGGGUGAUCGGCCACACUGGAACUGAGACACGGUCCAGACUCCUACGGGAGGCAGCAGUAGGGAAUCUUCCGCAAUGGGCGAAAGCCUGACGGAGCAACGCCGCGUGAGUGAUGAAGGUCUUCGGAUCGUAAAACUCUGUUAUUAGGGAAGAACAUAUGUGUAAGUAACUGUGCACAUCUCGACGGUACCUAAUCAGAAAGCCACGGCUAACUACGUG
RNAcentral lists this ribosomal RNA (497 nucleotides) under uncultured bacterium. Its description in RNAcentral is "partial 16S ribosomal RNA". It matches the Rfam family "Bacterial small subunit ribosomal RNA", at positions 28 to 507 of the family's 1533-position model. The record is from RNAcentral.